This 468-nucleotide ribosomal RNA is filed under the name uncultured bacterium. RNAcentral's name for it is "partial 16S ribosomal RNA". It matches the Rfam family "Bacterial small subunit ribosomal RNA", at positions 28 to 507 of the family's 1533-position model. The record is from RNAcentral.
GACGAACGCUGGCGGCGUGCUUAACACAUGCAAGUCGAACGGAAAGGCCCUGCUUUUGUGGGGUGCUCGAGUGGCGAACGGGUGAGUAACACGUGAGUAACCUGCCCUUGACUUUGGGAUAACUUUAGGAAACUGGGGCUAAUACCGGAUAGGAGCUCCUGCUGCACGGUGGGGGUUGGAAAGUUUCGGCGGUUGGGGAUGGACUCGCGGCUUAUCAGCUUGUUGGUGGGGUAGUGGCUUACCAAGGCUUUGACGGGUAGCCGGCCUGAGAGGGUGACCGGCCACAUUGGGACUACGAUACGGCCCAGACUCCUACGGGACGCAGCAGUGGGGAAUAUUGCACAGUGGGCGGAAGCCUGAUGCAGCAGCGCCGCGUGCGGGAUGACGGCCUUCGGGUUGUAAACCGCUUUCGCCUGUGACGAAGCGUGAGUGACGGUAAUGGGUAAAGAAGCACCGGCUAACUACGUG